GCGCUCACUCGCGGGAGGCGCGCCGAGAUGUAUGUGCGUGCGGCGGCGCGUGCUCCCUGGAGGGGGCGUGUCCUUUGGCCGCUGGAGGGGUCGAAAGGGUCUGAGUCUACAAGCCUCUACAAUUGCUCAGAUGUGAGGAGGGGAGGUGCGCCCUGUGUAGGGCGGGCUCCACCUGCCUGCGGACAGAUGGAGGGUCACUUUGUUUGGAAGAAACCCGGGCGCCCGAAGGAGGAUGUGAAACGGAACAACCCGUUUCUGUGAGAAUAUUAACAUGAAGAUGAGCCACAUGACAAAAAUGAAAGUGAACAUGAUGUGGAAAACAUGAAGAUGGAAUCCAAAGCUAAGGAUCCUGGAACAGAAAGAUAGGAGAAGUCUAAGUCAUUUGUGAUAUCUUAAAGCUGCUGCAGUAGUCCUAGAGUGGCUAACCCUGGAUUUAGUGUUAAGUCUGAAAAAUAAAUCCCAAUUUGGUUAAA
Long non-coding RNA from Phacochoerus africanus (Common warthog), 473 nucleotides. RefSeq lists it as uncharacterized. The record is from RefSeq and is a predicted model, not a curated record. The transcript has 2 exons. NCBI's taxonomy places the organism in Eukaryota, Metazoa, Chordata, Mammalia, Artiodactyla, Suidae.